RNAcentral lists this long non-coding RNA (760 nucleotides) under Homo sapiens (human). RNAcentral's name for it is "non-protein coding lnc-CYP4F11-2:1". The record is from RNAcentral. Lineage: Eukaryota; Metazoa; Chordata; Mammalia; Primates; Hominidae.
CCAGGCCCCAACUGUUGGACCCCCGACAACCAGGUCCCAACUGCCUGAUUCCGCCAACCAGGCCCCAACUGGUAGACCCCUGCUGACCAGGUCCCAACUGCGAGACCCAUGCAGAUGAAGGCCCAGCGUCCAGACCUCACUGCCUAGACCGCACUGAUCUGAUCCUCACUGACCAGGCCCCAACCGCCAGACCCCACCUACCAGGUCCCAGCUGCUGCAUCCCUGCCAAAUAACCCCCAGCUGCCGUAUCCCCUCUGACCAGGCCCCAACUGCUGGACCCCCUCCAAACAGGCCCCAACUAUAAGACCCCGCUGACCAGGCCCCAACUGCCAGACCCCCAUGGACGAGGCUGCAACUGCCAGAUCUCUGCUCACCAGGCCCCAACUGUGGGACCCCCGCUGGCCAGACCCCAACCAUGAGACCCUCGCCAAACACGCCCCAACUACUGGACUCUUGCUGGCCAGGCCCCAACCCCCAGGGCCUAGUCAGUCAGUGAGACCUGACUAGGUCUCACUGAUCAGAUCCCCGCUGACCUUGCCCCAGCUGCAGACCCCUAUUGACUGUGGGCGGAGGAUUACCCAGGUGCCGAGAGGGAAGGGCCCCCUGUGCUGUGAUCACGUGACUUGCUUCACCUUGUCAAUCACUUAGAAGAUUCACCCUCCUGACCCUACGCCCCUUGUCUUGUAUGCAAUAAAUAUCAGUGUGCCCAGCCAUUCAGGGCCACUACUGGUCUCCGCGUCUUGAUGGUAGUGGUCCCUCG